CCUACGGGCGGCUGCAGUGAGGAAUAUUGGUCAAUGGUCGGGAGACUGAACCAGCCAAGCCGCGUGAGGGAUGAAGGUACAGAGUAUCGUAAACCUCUUUUGUCAGGGAACAAAGGCGGGGACGUGUCCCCGGAUGAGUGUACCUGAAGAAAAAGCAUCGGCUAACUCCGUGCCAGCAGCCGCGGUAAUACGGAGGAUGCGAGCGUUAUCCGGAUUUAAUGGGUUUAAAGGGUGCGCAGGCGGUCUGUUAAGUCAGCGGUGAAAGGCCGGGGCUCAACCCCGGGCCCGCGGUUAAACUUGGCAGUCUCGAGUUGGGUAGAAGUAUGCGGAAUGCGCGGUGUAGCGGUGAAAUGCAUAGAUAUCGCGCAGAACUCCGAUUGCGAAGGCAGCAUGCCGGCUCCACACUGACGCUGAGGCACGAAAGCGUGGGUAUCGAACAGGAUUAGAUACCCUAGUAGUC
This 460-nucleotide ribosomal RNA is filed under the name uncultured bacterium. RNAcentral describes it as "partial 16S ribosomal RNA". It matches the Rfam family "Bacterial small subunit ribosomal RNA", at positions 338 to 795 of the family's 1533-position model. The record is from RNAcentral.